Molecule: small RNA, 886 nt
Filed under: Doratomyces sp. UTHSC DI14-65
Lineage: Eukaryota; Fungi; Ascomycota; Sordariomycetes; Microascales; Microascaceae
Description: eukaryotic LSU rRNA
Rfam family: Eukaryotic large subunit ribosomal RNA
Source: RNAcentral
GCGGAGGAAAAGAAACCAACAGGGAUUGCCUCAGUAACGGCGAGUGAAGCGGCAACAGCUCAAAUUUGAAAUCUGGUCCCCUCUGGGGGCCCGAGUUGUAAUUUGAAGAGGAUGCUUUUGGCGAGGCGCCUUCCGAGUGCCCUGGAACGGGACGCCACAGAGGGUGAGAGCCCCGUAUGGUAGGACGCCGAGCCUCUGUAAAGCUCCUUCGACGAGUCGAGUAGUUUGGGAAUGCUGCUCAAAAUGGGAGGUAAACCCCUUCUAAAGCUAAAUAUUGGCCAGAGACCGAUAGCGCACAAGUAGAGUGAUCGAAAGAUGAAAAGCACUUUGAAAAGAGAGUUAAACAGCACGUGAAAUUGUUGAAAGGGAAGCGCUUGCGACCAGACUUGCGCCCGUCGGAUCAACCGUCCCUCGUGGGCGGCGCACUCCGGCGGGCUCAGGCCAGCAUCAGUUUUCCUGGGGGGAGAAAGGCGGUGGGAAUGUAGCUCUUCGGAGUGUUAUAGCCCGCCGCGUAAUGCCCUCGGGGGGACUGAGGACCGCGCGUAUGCAAGGAUGCUGGCGUAAUGGUCGUCAGCGACCCGUCUUGAAACACGGACCAAGGAGUCGUCCUAAUAUGCGAGUGUACGGGUGUAAAACCCCUGCGCGUAAUGAAAGUGAACGGAGGUGAGAGCUUCGGCGCAUCAUCGACCGAUCCUGAUGUUCUCGGAUGGAUUUGAGUAAGAGCAUAUUGGGCCGGACCCGAAAGAAGGUGAACUAUGCCUGUAUAGGGUGAAGCCAGAGGAAACUCUGGUGGAGGCUCGCAGCGGUUCUGACGUGCAAAUCGAUCGUCAAAUAUGGGCAUGGGGGCGAAAGACUAAUCGAACCUUCUAGUAGCUGGUUUCCGCGA